Long non-coding RNA from Patella vulgata (common limpet), 1861 nucleotides. RefSeq lists it as uncharacterized. The transcript has 4 exons. Lineage: Eukaryota; Metazoa; Mollusca; Gastropoda; Patellidae. The record is from RefSeq and is a predicted model, not a curated record.
CAUCGAGCACUCUGUGGAAAGCAUUCUUCUAUUUGAACCCUGAAGCCAAAGCUAACCAAAAAGAAACAUUUGGAUUUAAUUCUAUAAAAACACUACCUACCAUACCUGAACUGGUUAACUUCGAAACGCAACUUUCAAAUCUCAUAAAAGAUCUCAAAUUUCGUGAUGUGAAUUGCCACUUCCAAAAAAGACUCUUAUCGGACAUCAAAAAUAAAAUCGACCGAACAAAGGAUCUACUUGUGCCCGCCGAUAAAACAACAAAUUUCUACAAACUUGAAGAAGGUCAUACAGAAAAUUACUUACUAAAAACAUCACAAAAAAAUACAAAAAGAUAAACCAGGACACUGUAGCAGAAAUUUAGAUGGAAAAUAAGAACAUCGCAGUAGACCUCAAACUUUUAGAUAGAAUCAAAAUUUCGGCUAAAAAAGAUGCAUUUAUUACAUUAAAAGAUCACAAACCAAAUUUCCAAAAUAAUCCCAUGUGUAGACUAAUCAACCAAACUAAGUCAGAAAUAGGAAAAAUAAGUAAACAAAUCCUCGAAAAUUUGAACACACAACUACGAGAUAAAUUAAAACUCAAUCAAUGGAAAAACACAGCAGCCGUAUUACAAUGGUUCAGUAGCUUCGAAAACAAAAGCCAAUGUAAAUUCAUUGCAUUUGAUGUCGUCGACUUCUAUCCGUCUAUUUCAACAGAUCUAUUAAACACCGCACUAGAUUUUGCAUCAAUACACUGCACAAUUAGCCAAGACGAACGGAAGAUCAUUCUACACUCAAAAAAAUCUUGCUUAUAUAAUGGUGAUGUUAGGCGCAAUCUUCACCCCUCGCGCAGAUUGCAAUCUGCGCUUUCGUCCUGCGCAGAUUACACCCUGCGCGCAGAGGUGUGCUUGGGGUACGUGUAAUUCAGACAGUAAAUAUGCGGAGAGACUGACAGGAGGGAUAACCUUUAUUCCUUUCUCAAGUUUGGAAGAACACACGAUACCAGACGAUGGAUAGGUUGAUGCGGACACCCUUUCGUCACUUUCAAGCAGUUUAACGAAGAGAUAGGCUACUGGAUGAGCGGUGAAAGGCCCACAAUGUCCACAUCUGUUUGUGUGCACUAAAGCACUUUGUAAAUGGUCAGCUAGAUCCCAUUGCUGCACUGCAUUAUGAUCAUAUUGCUCAACCAAGACCACCACCCAAACCCAGUUCAAGUAAUUCUUUUGAGAAACCUGCAGUAGUUGAAUCAAAGGUUUUAAGAGUUUCUAUAAAGUCAAAUCAGAUUGAGUAUGAAAACUGUGAAGAAAAUACUUUAUUAAUAAAAUGGUACAGAUAAUAUAGUUGAUGCUGCCACAGGAUUUCAACCGAUGGACAUCUUGGCCCUUGCUGCAGAAAAUAUGAAAAGGAAGAAUAUGCAAAGUUAAUUGUGGAAAAUGAAAAUCUUAAACGCAGUCAAGUUCAACUAGUAGAUAAAGGAACUAGUAUGAACCUAUCAAUGCAAUGUUUUAGCUAUUCAGCUUUAAAAAAAGGAUUCAUUAUACUGGCUCUCCUUAUGGAUCACUGUUUUUUUAAAGUAUAUAUAAGUUUUUUGAACCAGCAGGAGAGUUACCGUUUGAAUUUUCUAAAAAUACUAGCAGCUUAGUCAGUUUUUCUCUAGAUGAUCAGCUUCUAUCAGUGCUAAUAAAAUUAAGACAGGACUUUGUUUUUAAACGCAUAUCAAAUACAUGUAUGUUUGGAAUUUCUUCUCAAGAUUGUAGCUGUUUAUUUACUAAUUGGAUCAAUUAUAUGUUUUAUAGACUUAGCUCUCUUGUUAUAUGGCCACACAGAAAUAUUAUCAUUGAAAACAUGCCAGAACAAUAUAAAAGUACUGAUUAUGGCUGACUUGU